GGAAGCAUGCUGAAUAAGAAGAAUGUUCAAGCCAUCUUCUCUGAGAUCUUUCCUGUCCCUCAAGCACAUGAAGACAGAAAGCAAAGAAGAUUCUGCAAGUGAAUCACUGGCUAGGUAAGUGGUGAGUACAAGCACCCCAGAUUCACUUUUAACUUGCAUCUUCUUGUUAAAUACUUGUCUUGCUAUAUACACAUCUCUUCCAUGCUCUCAGCAAUGGGGUAUUCCCUCUGAUUCAGCAGAGAAGAGUGCAAGGUGAACAAGUAAAGGUGAGGGAAUUAUUGGACAGUAAGCUGGUGUGAGUGUAAGGUGUCUGUCUAACUGAGUCUAAGGGUAUGCUGACAUUGGAGCUGGAGGUGUAAUUCCCAGUUCAGGUAGACAUACCCACACUAGCUCUGAUCAAGCUAGCAUGCUAAUAGCAGUGUAGCCACAGAGGUGCAAUCAGUGGGAUGGGCAGCCGGCCUGAGUACAAUCCUGUCUGAGACCCUAGGUAUGUACUCAGGCAGCUAGCACUUCCUGCUGCCGUGGCUACACUUCUAAUUUUAGCAGGCUAGCUCUAUCAGAGUUAGCACAGGUAUGUCUCCUUGAGCUGGAAAUUGCACCGUCCAGCUCCUGUGAAGACGAACCCUAAGACAGCCUAAGUCUACUUGAUGUACCUGAGACAUUGAGAUGCCCAGAUGGAUAUAUACAUUACACUUUUUAUUCACCUCUAUUCUCUGUCCACAGUUCUCAUCCACCGGGUAGAAACUCUCCCACCAUAUGCUCAACAGGCAAUCAGGAGGCCUCUGUCUGCUCCCACUAGUAGAUCUGAGUGGGGCAGAGCAGCCAGGAGGAGGCGACAAGCAACAGUGGCAGCAGCAGCAGCAGCAACAAGUGGAGUCUACAAGGACAGAAGGUCAGAGGGGCCCAGUACUAGCCUGAAGCAGAACAUGCAACUCUUCAGAAGCUCCAUCAAAUUCACAGUGAGUUGAUGGAGCUGGCCGACCAAGUAUAAAAGGGUUCUCUAUCUCACAGAAGAGAUCCAACUGGAAGGCCAUGGAUCAAGCUUCCACAUCCAACUGAGAGAUCACUUGUCUGCAUCACCAAACCUUUGCAAAAAUUCAGAUGCACUCUGCAGGAUUCACCUCUGGAAGACACUAUUUCAUAUUUAAAUUAAUCUAGACUCAACUGGAAUAUUCCUUCAUCACCAGUCAUUUGAUUAUUGCUGGCUGGUAAAAGUCACCUUAAAUUUUAUAUCCACACAGGUGUGAUAUUGUUGGAAUAAGCUACAUGGACUUGUUAUAAACUGUACACGCAUAUGACAAAUUUAUCACUCACCUUUGACCACAUCACCUGCUCUCUGUGCAAUAAUCCAUCUCCCUAGGACUUAUUGCAAUAUUCCAAACAGCUGCCUUUUUAAAAACUCCAUCUCCAAGAGAAAUUUUCUUCCAAAAUGUAGAAUUCCCUCCAAUAUAUGAUGCCUGCCAAAGGACCAGGACAGGCAAGAUUCAGUCCUGGGUAAGUGCCAGCUUCAAAGUUGUGACAUUUUAUGUAGAGAGAAGCUAUUUUAGGCUAUUUUAGGAUGUGUUUUGCAAUGAUAGCUUUUAAAUAUUUUCCUCUGAGCCUUGAACAAUUAGUAACUAAGGGCCUGAUUCGAGCUCACUGAAGUCACUGAAAAGACUAUCAUUGAUGUCAGUGGGCUUUGGCUCAGGCCUUAGGCUUCUAGCUCUACAGAUAGAAGGAAAUACAUACAUUGUAUAAGGGCCAGAUUCACAAAAGGGGACUUAUGCAUAGUUGUCUCCUAGUGGAAUUCAAAAACCCGAGUUUGGAUCCUAGGAUCUCUAUACAAUGCAUGGGGAGAGUUAGAAGCCUAAAAAUAGGAUUCACAAAAAACGGUAUGCUGAGCAGUGAUCCACCCAAGCUAGCCACUAGUAAAUGCUGAGGAUGGGGUAUGGCCUAAGCCUGCCCCUUUCGGGAAAUUAGAGCCUACGACUGGGCCAGAGGCACUUAUCUCUGCUGUGAACUCUCUCAUGGAGUUAUGCGCCUAAGCUGUUUUUUGCAAGAAAUGCCACCACAGCAGCAGAACAUCCUUCUCCCUCUCCACCAAUAACCUUUAUCCCAGUGGUUGGGGCACUCUCCCAGAAGGUGGGAAACCUUGGUUCAAUUCUUCCUCUCCCUGAUGUGGAGCAGCAAUUUGAAAUUGGGUCUCCCAUCUCUCAGGAGAGUGCCCUAACCACUGAAUAAUGGGAUAUUUCAGUGAGGGUUCCUCUCAUGGAAGCUAUUCCACUCUGUAUAAAUAGUUAAAUAUUAAUUGAGGUAGGGAGAGCAGUUAGGCACUCACCUAAGAAGUGGGAGACCCAAGUUCAAAUCCCUUCUUCACAUUAGGCAGAAGGGAAAACUGAACACAAGUCUUCCACAUCCCAGGUGAAUGAUCUAUCCCCCAGGCAAAGAUUAUUAAAGGGACCACUGCUGCCACGUCCCCCUCCCUGUCUCCCCCCCAUGUUCUGAGCAUGUCUACCAGAUUGAGCCCCAACAUCAAGGUAAAUGGGGAAUACCUAAUUUGUGAAUGGCAUUGAGUGUUAGGUGCUGAGUUGCUGGGCGGUGCCAGAAGUUAGACUGCUGUGCACAUGUUCAGCUGCUGAAAUCUAGUCACCUCAUUGACUUUAACAGUGGAAACGCCUAGGGAAUUUAUGCACCUCUAGAGUUAGAUGGCAGCUGAGCAGGAGUUUUGUGAAUGCCAGUGGCACUUAAGUUUGUAUUUACAUGACUUAAGUGGCAGUUGUCUGUCCAAGUCCUUUUGUGAUUCUAGCCCUAAGUGUCCAAAUUACUUUGAAAUUGGUACUUAGGCACUUUUGAAAGUGUUACCCUAAUGGACUUAUCCAUGAUCAUAGAACUCCUGACAGUGAAGAAAAGAACCUAUGAGUCCAGACUCCCAGUCCUCUAACUACUGAUCAAACUGCCUAUCAUAGUUGAACCUGACAAUCUUUCAGAAUUUCAAUAAAUGCUGAUUUUGCAUUAUUCA
RNAcentral lists this long non-coding RNA (2998 nucleotides) under Chrysemys picta bellii (western painted turtle). RNAcentral describes it as "lncRNA (ENSCPBG00000021315.1)". The record is from RNAcentral. Lineage: Eukaryota; Metazoa; Chordata; Testudines; Emydidae.